Molecule: ribosomal RNA, 425 nt
Filed under: uncultured bacterium
Lineage: Bacteria
Description: bacterial SSU rRNA
Rfam family: Bacterial small subunit ribosomal RNA
Source: RNAcentral
UGGGGAAUAUUGGACAAUGGGGGCAACCCUGAUCCAGCCAUGCCGCGUGCGGGAAGAAGGCCUUCGGGUUGUAAACCGCUUUUGUCGGGGAAGAAACGCUCUGGGCUAAUGCCCUGGGGUAAUGACGGUACCCGAAGAAUAAGCACCGGCUAACUACGUGCCAGCAGCCGCGGUAAUACGUAGGGUGCGAGCGUUAAUCGGAAUUACUGGGCGUAAAGUGUGCGCAGGUGGCCGCGCAAGUCGAGUGUGAAAGCCCCGGGCUUAACUUGGGAAUUGCGCUCGAAACUACGUGGCUAGAGUGUGGCAGAGGAAGGUGGAAUUCCACGUGUAGCGGUGAAAUGCGUAGAGAUGUGGAGGAACACCAAUGGCGAAGGCAGCCUUCUGGGCCAACACUGACGCUCAUGCACGAAAGCGUGGGGAGCAAA